ACUUCCAUCCCAGAAUCCAGAGGCCCUAUAACAAACUGUCGGGUCUUUGGUGUUCUGUCUUAAUUCGCUGGCAAGUAAGGUGUCGUGAGAUUUAGUCAAUAAUGUCCUUCUUCACCCGACUACCAGUAUGGGUGCUUCAGGUCCCGAUACAUCUUGGUACUUCUAGGGUGAAUGGAUAGUUUGGAGGCAUGGGCAGCCUUGAGAACAUUCGUCCUGACACCGACGGAGACCCAAAUUCAGUCCCAAAAUGUACACAACCCAUCAUUUGAGUGUCUCAAAUUAGAAAACUCGUUAGAAGAGAACUUACUCAAAUUUUUGGUGAUUUCUUGGUAUGUGGAUUAAGCUUCCCAAAUCUUCAUGAAAAGAUCAGGCAAAACUCGGAUAUGAGCAAGAUAGGCACCAU
RNAcentral lists this long non-coding RNA (403 nucleotides) under Carica papaya (papaya). Its description in RNAcentral is "long non-coding RNA (CPAP_LNC003470)". The record is from RNAcentral. Lineage: Eukaryota; Viridiplantae; Streptophyta; Magnoliopsida; Brassicales; Caricaceae.